Long non-coding RNA from Ahaetulla prasina, 1156 nucleotides. RefSeq lists it as uncharacterized. The record is from RefSeq and is a predicted model, not a curated record. The transcript is spliced from 2 exons. NCBI's taxonomy places the organism in Eukaryota, Metazoa, Chordata, Lepidosauria, Squamata, Colubridae.
UCGGUCCGGCUUGGCCUGGGGCGCCCGGGCAUCUCCGGCAGGGCUGGAAGGCAACGCUCCGCGCGAGAACCUCUGGGCCUCUGGCCACCCGGCUCGCGCUCCUUUAUGGCCUGGGCGGCUCUCUCGCCCGUCGGGUGGGGGGCCAACGCCAAGCCCGAAAGCAUUUGCCCGGGCUCGUUGCUAGCCCGGCUUGGUUGAUACCUUCGUGGCAUUCGCCACGGGAAGAAAGGCGACCUUUUGUUGCAAGCGAGGUCUUCUUUUCCCGUCGGUCAGCCGCCUUGCCGUCGGUCUCCGGACAAGAACGCCGUCACUCCCCCCUCCCCCCCGGCUAGACUAGGAUUUUGCGUGGUUUUGCAAGAGGCGCACCUGGCUUUUCUAGGAGGUUUGCAAAAAGUUCUUGCUUUCGUCACCGAAGCAGGGUCCGAGCACCGUUUCGAAAGUCAUCCGUCCAAUACAUUUCGAAGCAGUUGGGUUCAGAAUUGGUGGCUUGCCCGUAGCCACAGGUGCGCGUUUAGGCAUCCCUCCUUGAGAAGUUAUUUUGGCCGAUCUACUUGUACCUUCGUCUUGGCUGGUGCCGAUCGAGGGAAGGGACCGUUCCAUUGCCUUGCAUGAACAAAGGGAAAGCGCUGUAGCCAGUAAGUGUGCUGACCCUGAGAUCUGCUUCAGCGUCCCUCACUACCCAAGGGAUAUGCCCUCUCAAAUAAUGUUAAUAGUUGUUGUUCCCACUAUUGCUUUCAUGCUUACAACUUUUUGCCUCUUUAUUUCCAUUACUGCGAUUGUGUGUCAAAAGUUUAUUUGAUGUCAAAAUAUUAAGCAAGAGUAUCCUGGAAAGCAAUUCUAGGAGUGAAUUCUACUGAACUCAGUGGAGUUUACUUCAAAAGAAAUUCUUCAUUCUCCUUGGCAUCAAUUUUCAUAUAUGCUGCUCCUUCCCAACCAAAUGAUUGAUGGGAAUCUGACUUCUAAAUUACAUUUUUCCUUCAUAAAGCAUUGUAAAAGUCAUAAUUUUGCUUGGCCACAAACAGAAAUAGAUAAUAUUCUGAAAAGUUGCAGCUGUUUCUCAAUGUCUUAUAGAACCUUUACAGAUAUCCCACAAAAAACACAAGAACAAAAAUUGGAAGGUGUACCAAAAUGCAAUUAUUUUUAAAAAAUCAGAAGA